AACCCCCUGAUGUACUGUAAGCUACAGUAGGAAACACCCUGAUGUACUGAAACCCCCUGAUGUACUGUAACCCCCUGAUGUACUGUAAGCUACAGUAGGAUUCCCCUGAUGUACUGAAACCCCCUGAUGUACUGAAACCCCCUGAUGUACUAUAAGCUACAGUAGGAAACCCCCUGAUGUACUGUAACCCCCUGAUGUACUAUAAGCUACAGUAGGAAACACCCUGAUGUACUGUAAGCUACAGUAGGAAACCCCUGAUGUACUGAAACCCCCUGAUGUACUGUAAGCUACAGUAGGAAACCCCCUGAUGUACUGUAAGCUACAGUAGGAUUCCCCUGAUGUACUGUAAC
This is a long non-coding RNA of Oncorhynchus tshawytscha (Chinook salmon), 350 nucleotides long. Lineage: Eukaryota; Metazoa; Chordata; Actinopteri; Salmoniformes; Salmonidae. The record is from Ensembl.